Molecule: long non-coding RNA, 1471 nt
Organism: Marmota monax (woodchuck)
Lineage: Eukaryota; Metazoa; Chordata; Mammalia; Rodentia; Sciuridae
Exons: 2
Source: RefSeq, a predicted model, not a curated record
AGCAGGAUAUAUCCCAUGAUUUAAGAUUCCAAAAGUGUUACAGUAAAUUAGAAGAACAAGCUCCAGCCUAAAUUGUGGGUAAUCUCAAUGAGAGGAGAGAGGCACCUUCAGAUUCCUAGGUGAGCAUGGUUUUCCUAGGAGUCGAGAAUUUUAAAGGAUUGAUACAAAAGGGGGAGGGAGCACACUUUCCCUAAAAUGCAUGCAGCAGCGUUGGUGACAGUCUACAAGAACAGUGUUUGAAAGCUCAUGCCAGGAAGGAACUGCAAGUCAGAGCCUUUCCAGUAAAGGCUGAAGGUAUUUUUAGAAGUAAGGGUGGGAUUGACUGCCUUUAGGGCUGGGUGAGGACCAGCUGCAUGAUUUGCAGGGCCCAGAAUCUAAGUGAAAGUCCGAGUUCCCUUGUUUAAGAAAGUCUUAAUAAUUUCAAGAUGGUGACAGCACAGCAUUAAACCAAGCGUGGGUCCUUCCUUGCCCAGACCACAGGCUGGAAGGUCUAGAAGCCUGCCUCCCGCGUGGCCCAGCCCUGCUUCCCCUGAGGUCUGAAGGGAGGUCCCAAGGGCACAGCACAGCAGAGCAGGUGCUAUUCAGUUCCUCUUUCCUGUAAGUGCCUCCCCAGGGCUCGCUGGCACACCUCUGCAGUGCACAGUUUAGGCUCAGGGCCAAGGGGGAGUGAGGGUGUGCUGGAGGUUUAUGUAAACAGAGUCAAAGAGCAAAUGGCCGGUCUGUGCAGAGGACACCAUCCCAGGCACUCCAGUGACCCCUCGCACCACUACCUCAGAAGCCAUCAGUCUGAUUAGUCUUCUCCUCCUGGAGGGGAUUGGGAUGGAGCAAGGUUUAGUAAUCUUCAAAGUCGUAACAAAGAAAACAAAUCGAAGCUAGAGUUUGUGAGGGCAUCGGUGAGAAGGCAGAUGUCCUAAUCAAUCUGCCUAGAACCAGGUGAGAUGCUCUCUGGGACAGUGAAGGAAUCUGUGCAUAUGCUCUGAGGACUUAGAAGUUGGAAAUGGGCUGUUGGCCCAUUGGAACCAACUGCACGGUGGUGCAAGAAGUUUGCAGAGAUCUGAGUAAGAGUGAGGCGCUGGGAGAGGCCUUCUGUCUGAUCUGUAGAGUCCUCAACAAGAGGUGGGCCUGGAGGCCCCGCUGGCGGUAAAUCAGUGGAAGGCAGCAGAACUCUCAUGUCCUUGGGAACAAGAUGAAGACACAGGGAUGGGGGAUGACUCAGAGCUGGAACCAUCCUCAGUGCCGUGAGCAAAAGCGUCGGAGUCGACCCAUCCAGGAGUCUCUGUGGCACCUCUCCAAGCUCUACCCAUCGCUGCCCUUCAUUGGUAAUUUGCACGUUAGCACAGAAGUGCGGGUGGAGUUAGAAAAUGACUCCAACCUGGGAGGGAGAGAUCGGCGCCCUAACUAAAGCUCUGACUUCACGUGUUGGCAUCUUGGUCUCAAACCAGCAGGUGGACUGAAUAAACGUAGAGAUGCA